RNAcentral lists this ribosomal RNA (773 nucleotides) under Pratylenchus vulnus (walnut meadow nematode). Its description in RNAcentral is "eukaryotic LSU rRNA". It matches the Rfam family "Eukaryotic large subunit ribosomal RNA", at positions 344 to 964 of the family's 3401-position model. Lineage: Eukaryota; Metazoa; Nematoda; Chromadorea; Rhabditida; Pratylenchidae. The record is from RNAcentral.
ACAAGUACCGUGAGGGAAAGUUGCAAAGCACUUUGAAGAGAGAGUUAAAGAGGACGUGAAACCGAUGAGAUCGAAACGGAUAGAGUCAGCGUAUCUGACCUGUAUUCAGCCGCACAUCUGUCAGUCGUCAUAUGUUGAUUUCCAGACUGGGACAGUGUGUGGUUAGCUGAUUGUUGUGUGGUGCAUUUGCAGGUGGAGUGCGUCGAGACGCUCGAUGUGGCGACAUGAGCUCAGUUUUGAGGCCAGCUUGCUGGUACCCGAAUUGGAGGAAUGUUGUUCACGGUGAGUGGAAUUGGCAAGGCCUACGAGUCCGGUUGGGCAUCGAGCUGGCAGUCGGCGUCGGUCGCAUGCGACACGUGCUGUGCAGUCAGUUCGGUCCUAGUCGAGCUCACAAGCCUAUUCUCGGCGUAAAAGCUGGUCAUCUAUCCGACCCGUCUUGAAACACGGACCAAGGAGUUUAUCGUGUGCGCAAGUCAUUGGGCGUUGAAAACCCAAAGGCGCAAUGAAAGUGAACGCAUCCGCAAGGAGCUGACGUGCGAUCCCGGGUACUGCGGUGCCCGAGCGCAGCAUGGCCCCAUCCCGAUUGCUUGCAAUGGGGUGGAGGAAGAGCGUACGCGGUGAGACCCGAAAGAUGGUGAACUAUUCCUGAGCAGGAUGAAGCCAGAGGAAACUCUGGUGGAAGUCCGAAGCGAUUCUGACGUGCAAAUCGAUCGUCUGACUUGGGUAUAGGGGCGAAAGACUAAUCGAACCAUCUAGUAGCUGGUUCCUUCCGA